Molecule: unclassified non-coding RNA, 298 nt
Filed under: Hevea brasiliensis (rubber tree)
Lineage: Eukaryota; Viridiplantae; Streptophyta; Magnoliopsida; Malpighiales; Euphorbiaceae
Source: RNAcentral
GUGCCAAUCCAGAGGAUGUUUCUUAGAACCCUUGUUAGGCAGCCCACAACAAAUGAAGGGUAUACUGCAUAUCAAGGGCUGGCCACAGAAGCACCCCAUGCACAGUGGGCUAUGUCCUUUACGUCAAGGAGCAUUUUGAGAUCCUUAGUAGCUGCAAUGGAGGAGUUGGAGCUUAAUGUGCACAAUGCUACUGUCAAAUCUGAGCAUGCUCAUAUGUACCUCUGUAUCCUACAGGAACAACAAAUAGAUGACCUUGUGCCAUACCCAAAGAGAGUUGAUAUUGAUGCUGGCCAGGAAG